RNAcentral lists this ribosomal RNA (468 nucleotides) under uncultured bacterium. RNAcentral's name for it is "partial 16S ribosomal RNA". It matches the Rfam family "Bacterial small subunit ribosomal RNA", at positions 28 to 507 of the family's 1533-position model. The record is from RNAcentral.
GACGAACGCUGGCGGCGUGCCUAACACAUGCAAGUCGAACGAACCGGCCCUGCUUUUGUGCGGUGGUCGAGUGGCGAAGUGGUGAGUAACACGUGAGUACCCUGCCCCUGACUGAGGGUUAUCUUAAGGAAAAAGGGGCUCUUACCGGAUAGGAGCUCUUGCUGUUUGGUGGGCGUUGGUAAGUUUCGGUGGUUGGGGUUGGACUUGCGGCUUCUCGACUUGUUGGUGGGGUUGGGGCUUACCAAGGCUAUGACGGGUAGCGGACCUGAGAGGGGUGACGGCCACGAUAGGACUGAGAUACGACCCAGACUCAUACGGGACGCAGCAGUGGAGAAGAUUACACAGUGGGCGGGAGCCAGAUGCAGCAACGCCGCGUGCGGGAUAACAUGCUUCGGGUUGUAAACCGCUUUCGCCUGUGACGAGACGUUAGUGACGGUAAUGGGUAAAGAAGCACCGGCUAACUACGUG